RNAcentral lists this ribosomal RNA (450 nucleotides) under uncultured bacterium. RNAcentral's name for it is "partial 16S ribosomal RNA". It matches the Rfam family "Bacterial small subunit ribosomal RNA", at positions 354 to 796 of the family's 1533-position model. The record is from RNAcentral.
GUGGGGAAUAUUGGACAAUGGGCGAAAGCCUGAUCCAGCCAUGCCGCGUGUGUGAAGAAGGUCUUCGGAUUGUAAAGCACUUUAAGUUGGGAGGAAGGGCAGUAAGUUAAUACCUUGCUGUUUUGACGUUACCGACAGAAUAAGCACCGGCUAACUUAGUGCCAGCAGCCGCGGUAAUACGAAGGGUGCAAGCGUUAAUCGGCAUUACUGGGCGUAAAGCGCGCGUAGGUGGUUUUGUAAGUUGGAGGUGAAAUCCCCGGGCUCAACCUGGGAACUGCCUCCAAAAAUGCAUGACUAGAGUACGGUAGAGGGUAGUGGAAUUUCCUGUGUAGCGGUGAAAUGCGUAGAUAUAGGAAGGAACACCAGUGGCGAAGGCGACUACCUGGACUGAUACUGACACUGAGGUGCGAAAGCGUGGGGAGCAAACAGGAUUAGAAACCCCGGUAGUCC